AGGUGCGAUCAUACCAGCACUAAUGAACAGGAUCCCAUCAGAACUCCGCAGUGAAGCGUGCUUGGGCGAGAGUAGUACUAGGAUGGGUGACCUCCUGGGAAGUCCUCGUGUUGCACCUU
RNAcentral lists this ribosomal RNA (119 nucleotides) under Vigna angularis (adzuki bean). Lineage: Eukaryota; Viridiplantae; Streptophyta; Magnoliopsida; Fabales; Fabaceae. The record is from RNAcentral.